UUGCUCUAGAGUUUUCAUCUCUCAUUUACAACUCACACAUUGCCAUAGUGAAUGGAAUUGUAAAACCUGUACCGAAAACAGUAGCAUAAAAUGGUAGGGCUGAAACACCCUCAUUGACGUAAGAAGUGAUCUUGUUAUAGCAUCUAAAAGCUCCACAGGUUUGGGGAGGAAUAAGAUACAGCCCCCAGGAAAGGAAGGAAGCAAUCACAGAGGGAUGAUUCCUUUGAGAAUGAGGACGGUGAAGUGGUGAAAGGAGAGAUCAAACAUAAACCUUCAACUUCCUGAUAUUUCCAAGAACAGAGACUCUCCUUCCUAACUAUCCUCCGAUUUUAAAGGCCCUGCAGUGUCUCCACCCUUCUUCCAUUUUAGUUAAAAGACCAUCUUGGAUGUAACUAUGCAAAAAAGUAGAAAUGCCGGCCCAUGCUGGGUCUGUAUUAAAAUUCACUCAAUACAGAAAGCUGACUUUCAUUAAAGUAACAGUUAAACCAGGGCCAAAAGCUUGACCUUCA
RNAcentral lists this long non-coding RNA (509 nucleotides) under Bos taurus (domestic cattle). RNAcentral's name for it is "long non-coding RNA NONBTAT025848". The record is from RNAcentral. Lineage: Eukaryota; Metazoa; Chordata; Mammalia; Artiodactyla; Bovidae.